Molecule: ribosomal RNA, 443 nt
Filed under: uncultured bacterium
Lineage: Bacteria
Description: bacterial SSU rRNA
Rfam family: Bacterial small subunit ribosomal RNA
Source: RNAcentral
AACGCGAAGAACCUUACCUGGGUUUGACAUGCUUCUGAAUAUAACUAGAGAUAGAUAUAGACUCGCAAGAGACAGAAGACACAGGUUCUGCAUGGCUGUCGUCAGCUCGUGUUGUGAAAUGUUGGGUUAAGUCCCGCAACGAGCGCAACCCCUGUCUUUGGUUGCCAACAUAUAAGGUGGGCACUCCAAAGAGACUGCCGUCGUUAAGACGGAGGAAGGUGGGGAUGACGUCAAGUCCUCAUGGCCCUUAUAUCCAGGGCGACACACGUGAUACAAUGGUAGGUACAGAGGGAAGCGAAGUGGUGACACGGAGCCAAUCUCAAAAAGCCUAUCUCAGUUCGGAUUGGAGUCUGCAACUCGACUCCAUGAAGUUGGAAUCGCUAGUAAUCGCGGAUCAGAACGCCGCGGUGAAUACGUUCCCGGGCCUUGUACACACCGGAGUA